RNAcentral lists this long non-coding RNA (11079 nucleotides) under Taeniopygia guttata (zebra finch). RNAcentral describes it as "lncRNA (ENSTGUG00000020719.1)". Lineage: Eukaryota; Metazoa; Chordata; Aves; Passeriformes; Estrildidae. The record is from RNAcentral.
GGCUCUCUAUUUGUCUCUUCUCUUUUGAAGCCUUUAUUUUUUGGCAGCAUUUGGGGGUUUUUAAAAAAGGGAAUGGAAGUUACUCUUCAGCCUGAAAUAAAAAAAAAAAUAUUAAUUACCAUCUUCCCAAACUGUCCAACUCCCUAAACGUCUGUGAUUUGCAUAGAAAGGGCAAAUAUUAGAUUUUCAUGUCAUGUGCUCUAUGAUGCACCUUCUUGUCUCAAAAUAACACUUGGAGAGAAGCUUAGAGUGCUUUUUCAGCCUGUCAUUGUGCAGGUGGUGUCAUUAGAAUUUCAGAAUAGAGGCAAAUUAUCAAAGCUAAUAAAGUCCUAGGCAAUAUUCUACUGCAGCUCUCGCAGUGAGAAUUGAUGAAGCUUCCAUGCAAAGAAGAGAGGACCUCUUCUCCCUUGUCUUUGGAUUUAGUUCAUUGCCUACAUUGAAAACUUAUGAGAUGCACUUGCCAGAAUUUUGGGUUUUUUACCCCAGUGAUGGCUUUAAAAUACACCAGAACAGACUCCCUUCACAUGCUACAGGCUCUCUGUUUACAUAGAGAUUUUGGCUACAUCUCAAAAAGCACUCAAGCAUAUUUUUUGAUCCAUUUCUCUUCAGGAGAGCAUAUGAGCACCUGAGCAAAGGCAAAACCACAAGUUUUAAAAGAAGAAUUAAGUAAAUGCAAAAUCUGAACUGAGCAAAGGUGUCUCUCCAUGUAGUGAUGAGUUCAUCCAGCAAGUCAAUUCCCCUUCUGUUUUACUCUUCCCUUUCCUUCAAAGAAAAGGUGCAGACAAAGCUGCCCAUCAGCAAUGUUGGUGGUGCCCCUGUGAAAAUGUGUUUAAGAAAGGGAAAAACAUUCAGGACAGGCAGAAGAGUGAGGGAAAAGAUGAUGAGAGACAGUCCAACACUCAUUGAGGUCAGUGGAGAUAAAGGCAGAGGAGGUGUUCCAGGUGGCUGAGAAGACAUCCAUCCCUUGUGGAGAGAACAACAGUGGAGCAGGGGAAAAGUGUGAAGAGGAAGGAGCAGCAGAAAGGAGCUGUUAGGGACUGACCACAAGGCUCAGUGAGGUCACAGCAUCCCCCUGGGCUGCUCAGCAAUGAGGGAGGAGGUAGAGGGGCUGGGAAUGGAGUGAGGUAAAAUGGGAAAAAGCAGGAGGAGAAUGUGCUGUUUUAAUUUUAUGUCUUUCUUUCUGAUUUGUCAACUCUGUUUUUAAUUGGUAAUCAUUUAAAUUAAUUUUUCCCAAGCUGAGUGUGCUUGGCCCAUGAGAGUAACCCAUAAGUGAUCUCCCUGUCCUUAUCUCAACCCAUCCAGCUUUUUAAUCUGAUUUUCUCUGCCUCUCCUGUUGAGGGGCAGUAUGGAUGCAGCUCUGAUCUCUGUGACAGGGACAGGACUCAGGGAAUUGCUGAAGCUGUACCAGAGGAGGAUUAGACUGGACAUUUGGGAAAGGUUCUCCCCCAGAGGGUGCUGGGGAUGGCCCCAAGGCUGCCAGAGCUCCAGGAGGGUUUGGACAACACUCCCAGGGAUGCACAGGGUGGGGUUGUUGGGGUGUCUGUGCAGGGACAGGGGUUGGACUGGAUGAUCCUGGUGUGUCCCAUCCCACUCAGGAUAUUCUGUGAUUCUGUGAGUGGCAGUUGGCCAAAGUCAGCUCACCACCGGUCUAAAUUAUUUCUGUGGCAGGAGGCACAGGGAGCAAUUUUUGUGUGGUUUGUGCGUAAUUACAACCAGCUGCAGUGCUGAAGGGUUAUGUCACUGUGAAUGUAGGUAGAGAUCUUACCUUUAUGAUGAUGGAUUACGAAAAGAUAUUGCAGAGAAAUUUUUCUCAAGCUGCUUACAAAUUAAGUUUAAUAUUUGUUGAGACCAGGGAGAGCUUGUCUCCAGGAAAAGUUUUCUGUGACCAAAAAAGUUUGUGUUUAAUGCUGGCCAGAGACAUCAAUAAUCAUAAUGAAGUGUUUUGGGAGAGGAGUCUUUAAAGUGGACCAUAUUUGAGUAGGAUGAGAAGAAUUUUGGAUGCAGAAAAAGAUUUUCAUGGAGAAGCUAGCAGAAACAAUCUGCAUGUCCUUUAGCUAACUUGAAUGAAAAAUCCUGUAGAAAACUUGUUAGGAUAAUGAUUUUCAUUUUCCAGCACUGCAAGAUGUUGCAGGUGAUGAUGCAGUAAUCGCUGAGCAAUAAACACAUUCAGAAACAGCAUAACUUAAAAUUACUUCUUUGUUCCAAUUGCUGAUUUGCAAAUGGAAAAUACUCCCAGUACUGUUAUAAACAGACUCACUGGCAGGCUAUGCAGAAGAGUUCUUUGCCACUUGCCAGCUUUACAGCCCUGCAGGAAGAGAGAUUGACUAAUCCAGUGUAAAGUGCACCACAAUUACCUGUGACAAGCAUAAAACAUUACUUUAUUUAUGAAUGUUGUGGUUUAACUUCAGCCAGCAACUAAGAACCACUCAGCUGCUCACUCAUCCCCAGCCCCUCCAGUGGGACAGGGAGAAGAGUUGAAGAAAGGUAAAACCCAUGGGUUAAAAGCAGUUUAAUAACUGAAAUAAAUUAAAUAAUAAUAUAAGGAAAAUCCUUUACUUAGGGUAAGGGCUGCUGAGCAACAACCAAACCCUCAGUGUGUGAUUCACAUUGUUCACAUUCUAAAGACAAAACACAGCACUGUACCAAUUACUAAGAAGAAAAUUAACUCUAGCCCAGCUGCAACCAGGACAAUCAAACACUUUUUUAUCAACUGUUGCUUGUGGUACCUUGCUGACUAUCUACAUGCAAACAAAUCUGUGCCAAAACCUCCACAAAUACUAAGGCAGAACAACUUCUACAUCUCCAAACCUGGUUCUGGAGGCUGUGGAGAGUUAACUACCUCUGUCACCAGUUCACCCAGCUGCUUCUUCACUCCUCCUCCCCUCCCUCUCUACCCUAAAGCAGGAUGGGAGAGGAGAACAGGAAAGGCAAAAGUGAGAAAAACUCAUGGAUUGAUACAAAAAGAGUUUAAUGACUGUAAAAAAACACGCUAAACAAUAACAAAAAAACUAAAUCAGAACCCCCAGCUGAUGGCAAGGCAAUCCCUGACCACCUCCCACUGUCAGACUGGUGCCAAGCCAGGCUAUGAGCAAUGGCUGCUCUGGAAAAUUGGUGAUGUCUGCUUUUCUUAGGAGUGACUUGUUUUGAAGGUGUGGCAGUAGAGGGUUUUUUUGCACUUCACUGUUUUCUUUUCCUCCUACUGUGAAAGGAAAAUUAAUUUCCGAGGAUUCUAUUUUGUUGUAGAAAAGAUGACAGCCUUGCCUUUGGUUUUCUAAUUGUAAUGAUACAUUAAAAAGUUGGGUUUUUUUACUAACUCACAAAUCAGAGAAACUGCAAAUGAUUUCUUCAUUUAUUUGUAGCAGCAAUUUUUUUUUUUUUUCUAUUUAUGCAAGUCUUUGCAUUAAAACCACAAGAGUGCUGACUAUUGAAUUUGGGAAAAAAUCAGGCUAGGGUUAUUUCUUAAGAAGAGAAAAUGAUUGGAGCACUAACUGUGAGGUACAGUUGUAGGGUAAGGACUGGUUAAACCAUAGCAGCUACAACUGAAUUAAUACAUAUACCAUCUUCUAGCUCCAAGCUCAAUUCAGACUCUAAGAGUGCUCAGUUGUCAAAAAAGACAAAAUCCCAACAUAUAUGCUCACCAUAUAAUACAUACAUAAUGCCAAUUUUAUACUGACAAGUAUAUAAUUAUAUAUAUAUAUUAUAUAUAUAUAGUAUAUAAUAUAUUUUUAUAUUAAAAUAUAUUUUAUUUUUAUAUAUAUGUAUAGAUAAUGCCAAUGAUAUAAUUAUAUACAAUUAAUUGCCCAUUAACUUCCGGAUUGAGAAGACCUUCCAUCUCCUCUAGAUAGUCCUAAUAGUGCUCAAUUAGAAUGUUUUCCUAGGGUUGUUUUGUUGUUAUCCUGUAGGGUUUUUUUUUUUUACUCUAACAUUUAAAGUGUAAAAUUAAUAGGGACAUUGAGAUUAUCCCAUGUUGAUACAUUGUGGCAGUGUUACUUUUCAUGUCUUUAUCUUAUUUUAAAAAAGUCAAACAAGCAACAGAAUGAUGUUUGGUUUCUUAAUGUCCUGCUAGGAACAAGACAGUGUUCUGCUGUGUCAGAAUUAUGCCAAAAAGUGGAUGUUAUUUCUUGGGUUGAGCAAAAUCAAGACAGCUAACUUGAAAUUGAACUUAUAUCUUUUUUGAACCAGGUUCUGAGAUUUCAUUUACUUCUUUCAUUUAUUCUCUCCAAUCUCAUUUGAAGAAAGGCAGCUGAAAUAUGGCUCUGGUAAAGGCAUUUUGCAACACUUUAAAAGAAUAAAUUCCUGCUGACAUUUGAUUCAGCAAAACACAUGCUGAAGACACAAAGCCAUCCUCAUCUGCUGGAGUUUGAAAUGUACACUUACAAACCAGGGUGCUUCGCAAAAUCCAUGUGGGCUUUGUGCUCUACUGCUCUGACAAAUGGAGAACACAACCAAAAAAAUGAUGGAAGAGGCUUUUUUUUUUUUUUUUACUGCCUCCUUUCUAUUGUGACUGAGAAGAGAAGCUGGUAUCUCCUUGCUCUCACCCCCCCAGCAGCUGGGAGGCAGGAAAAAUGUCAAAAGGAUGAUGGCUGCUGAAAAGACACGUACCUGUUGUGUGCCACAGUGACUCAGCCUGGACUGCUGCAAGACAAGAACUGUGAAAAGCAAAAAAAACAACCAAAAAAAAUACACACUAUUUUAUACACAUAUCACUUAUUUUUCAUAUUGUUAUGUUUGGGUUGGAAAUUAGGUAAAUGGAGUUCAUCCAUACAAAUUCUUCAUGCUUUCACUACCUCAUUAACUCCACAGCCUAGGCAAAUGAGAAAUGCUUGUAAAACUGCUGUAUUUUAAGUGCAGGCUGGAGACUGGAAAUGCAUGGAACAGAAUGUUCAAGAAACUGUAUUGUUCUUGUUCACUGUCAUUAGUGGCCAUGUAGUUUGAUUCUUAUGAGUUAAUGACACAUAAUAACAAAGGUUAUUUUCAAAACUUACUACAGAUCUUUUGCUCAGCUCAUUUCUGUGGGAGAUAACCAGAUUUAUUGAGAUAAUGCAGCAGAUGUUAUUCAGAGAAUGACUAUCAAAUGGAACCAAUAUCUGUAAAAUAAUCUAUUUUCUAAAUGCAAAUCUCAUUUUCUACAAGUUUUUCCUCACAGCACAGCCACUUUGCAAAUCUCUUACCUUUCUAUUGUGCAAUUCCUUGACACUGCAAAGCAUCAACUGAACUUCACUUGACUCCACCACCCUUCCAGACACUCAUUUUUUUCUGAAUGUGGGUCUUAUUCUUCUACGUGUGCCACAGAAAAUUCAUUGAGGAGUCUUCCAAUAAUUUCAGCUCUUUGUCUGUCCUACACCAUUAAUUCAAAUACAUUUCAGAUCCAAGCUCUAGAGGAAGAGACUUUUUGUGUUAAUAUCUUGCCUGGUCUGGAAGGGAUCCCUUUCUGACUACACAGAGGUAAUGGCACAGCUGGCAGGAAUUUAUCUAGGAAUUUUUCUACAGUUGGGACUGGUCGGAAUUUUUCUAACUCUGUAUGUCAACACUAAGGUCACGUGGAGCUAAAACCCAACAGAAGAAGCAUAACUCCUUUAUUUAAACACAAGCACAGUAAAAUUGCACCUCAAUUCCUGUACAAAUCUGCAGAGCUCAGUGCUUUUCACAGUGCUUGUGGCAGAGGGGUCUCCAUUCUCUGUCCAUCAUAUCAGCUACAGAAAUACAGAUUAUACAGCUUUCAUAGGACAGGCCUUCUCAGCAACAGAAUACAUCUAAAGAAAAACAGGCAUUUGUUGCACAGGAAUCUCCACCACAACACUUGAACAUGAUUCCAAAUGCAUCUCCUCCUUUACCUUUUUCUCUACAAAUAUUUCUUGAGUAUUUUGUAAUUUUGUGAUUUUGUAAAGUCCAGUUAAGUCGAAGAAAUACCUGAAUACAUCAGAGGAUAUUUUAAAAAUGCAAACCCAUAUUUUUAUAUUUUUCCCUGCAUGGUUAUUGGUCAUUGAAACAUGUCCAAGAUAUGCCAGAACUCAAAAAAAUAGUAAGAGAGUCAGUAAUGUAUUGCAGCACGUUGCUGUUGUCAUUGUCCUAUGGAUUUGAAGACAACUCAUUUCCUGUUGACCUUUUCAGCUUUAAUGUCAAGGUUUGGGAGCAUUUUAAAGUGCUGAUUUUCCCUCUCACACUGUAUGACAGCAGACAUCCUUUGUCUUACAUGCCUUAAGAAUUAACAAGUGUAAACCAAGCCUGUCCCAGGACAGCCAUGAAGGGAAGCUCACAGCACUUUGCCUGACACAGAUGACUGUGAAGAUUCAACAGAAUAGCCUGAAAUCUUUCAAGAAUAGGGGUCAGUAAGCACUGCAGAAGUUUGUGCCUCCACAUCUCAGGUGCUUUUGUGUCUCUCCUAGACAUAUGGGUCUGGCUAUGUCUGCUGAGUUCAGCUUACAGGUCUUGCAAUUAAUACCUUCUGAAAGCAGUAGUGUGUGAAAUACCACCUCUCCAAAGAGGUUAUUCUGUCUAGGAAAACUGGUGGUUCAAUGACAGCAAGAGCCUGAAAAAAACCCCAGCCUUUAUGUUUGUUCCCUGCUGCCAAAGAACAUGGUAAAUAAAUAAGGAAACAUGUUUUAUAUCUUUGAUAUUUUGGGGGAAAAAAUGUACAGUAUUAGUUCAUUUUGCUGUAGGUGAAAUGUUGGGAGAUCCUAAAAAUAAUAUCCUCUGCAAGUCAGGAAAAGCUCAGUGGGCAUAAUUUUAUUCAAGUGAAUCAUAUCUGUGUUAAUGCAAGGUGCCCACCAAGCUGCUCUACCCACUCCCCCUUCCAGCUGGACAGUGGAGAGAAACUAAGGUGGAAAACAAUUCAUAGGUUGAGAUAAGGCAGUUUACUAAAAAAAAAGUAAAAGGUUGUGUGCCCUCAAGCAAAGAGAAAACCUGAAGAUUUUAUUCUGUACGUCCCAUCACUUAGCAAGGUCUGGCUUCUUCCUGGGAAGCAGGAUUCCAGCACAUGGAGCUGCUGCUCUGGAAGGUAAAUGCUCAAAUAACACAUCCUCCUCCCCAGUCCUCCAUCCCCACUCGGUUUUUGUCUCUGAGCUGAUGUCACAUGCUCUGGAAUAUCCAUUUGGUCAGUCUGGGGCAGCUGUGCCCACUCCCUGCCCCCUCCAGAGCAGGGAAAGUUGAUAGAGUGGAGUUGUGCCAGCCCUGCCCAGCAGCAGCCAAACCUGGGGUGUUAUCACCUCCUUUCUGUUGGAACUCAAAAUGUCCCUCAGACAUUUUUGGAGGUUCCAGGCCCAGGUCAGAAACAUUUGAGACCCUGGCAGGCAGCUGAAAACAGCUGUGAUUUUGGGUUUGAACCAUGGAACGCUUUACCAACCUUGCAGGAAGAACAAGAAGUCACAAAAGUUUAGAUAUUAUAGUAGACGUAGUCACAAAGUAGAGGGAAGAAUUUUUGGGUGCUGUACAGGGGGGUUUUAAGUCCUGUACAGGGGGGUUUUAGUUUUGUACAUGGGGGUCAGAGGGUUUAAGAUGGAGGGAUUUGGGCCUGUCCUGUCCUCCCUCUUUCUUCUUCCUUAGCUCCGUGUUCUUGGUGAUGUUGGCACUCACAGAUUGGUUUAGAGUAAAAGGCACCAUUUAAUACAGGUAAUAGGCAUUGGGGGAAAACGGUAAACAUGUAACACGUAAUGUACCAUAUAAAAGACAGCACAGCCCUGGGCGGGGAGAGAAGAAGCAGUCGGGAGUCAGAGAGGAUGUCAGGGUGUGUGUGUGCCUCUGCCUGAGCUGUGAGCAAACCACAGCAGCCCGAGAAGAAAAUCUUUUAGAUAACUUGCAAUAAACUGCCUUGAGACCGAACAACAAGAGACUGCUGAGCCUUUCUUUGGAAGCACAGGUUGGAGGAGAAGUUUUUUCACCACACGGAGCCACCCCUGACCUAGGGUGGUCUUCGGCACCUUUCCAGCUCCCAGUGCAAAGCGCGGCACGGAGGGAUGCCCUGGGACUAUCAACCCCACCCCUGCCAGACCACAGCACCAGUGGAGUAGAAGCAUCUCCUCUGUGACCAGGUCUCUGAUAUAUUCUAAAUAUGGCACAUUUGUUUCUGUAAUGGGCAACUACAGGGCUUGUUUAAAUACUCAGGUCAAUUUAUGGCUGCAAACAGUAGCUAGAAAUGAAACUCAUGAAUAGUGAAGCACUGCUUCCCAAGCUGGACACAGGCAAUUAAGCACUCCCUAUGUUUUCUGGAUAAAUAUGCAAAUUUGACAUUCAAUUCGGACUUCUAAAAAAAAAUUCACCCAAGUUAAACCACAAAGAAUAUAAGCAGUCCAAAGCUUAAGUAUUUUUGCUCUAACUUUAAUUGCUUGCCAUAAUUUCUGUUAAGGGCAAGGCACUUUAGUAGGUUAUCAUUCUGCUCCUCCCAACUGUUUCAAAAGUCAAGUGUGGUUUCCCCUGACACAUCACAUAGUGGAUGGAAUUUUUAGGUGGAGAAUUUACAGCAGAGUAGCAUGCAGGGAAUUCAUUAAAGCUGGGAGAAGGAAGUCACUGCAACAACACUGCAGUGUUGUUUGCAUAACUUAGUUUGCCUGUUGCAAAGUAAGACUAACUACUGAACUGCCUUAAUAAAUUACAUUUUUCAGUAGUUAACGAGAAGCACUUAGCAGGUUCUGGAAGAAAGAGGAUUAAAAAGUUUAUCAUAUGAAGUAGGAAAAAUAAAAGUUAUGGGAUUAGCUGUUAAAAUGUGUUUAGAAACGCAGAUAUACACUGCUGUUAAAUGCAGAUUUACAGGACAAAGGACUCUAAUGACUCUAAGUCAUGUGCCACUCCUCCCUCAUGAUUCUGCUGCAGACAGGGUCCCAAUCUGGAUUUAGCAUUUUUGGUGGUGAUGUAAGCUUCUGCCUCACUCAAGUGCAAUUUGUUCCAUUGUUUGUGACUUCAGUAUGCUGCCCUAAAAUUAUAUCAUAUUUUAAGGCCACAGAUUAUUAAGACUACAAACAAAAGGCAUCAUAAUCCUCAACAACCCUUUAACUCUGCUUCAGAAUGAUUUUAAAGGCUCAAAUCAAACUGUGGUGGCAAUUAGGUCUUGGAGUUGACCACAGGGAAAGAUCUGUUGUAAUGUUUGUCUGUUGUAAUUCCAAAGUAACUUUUUUAACCUUUUGGCAAUGGACAUAAUCUUUUUCUGAGCAGCCUGUUCUAGUGGGAUGUGGAAAGUGCCUGGAAUCAGAUAAUCUUUAAAGUCCCUUCACAAAUGAACUAUUCCAUAAUUCUAUUAUUCUGUGAAGUGAACAACAUCAGAAUAUUCUUAUUAAAUUUAAAGUGGAAAAGAGCCAGAAGAGUUGAUACUUCCCGAGAAAACCAAGUUGUCCUGCUCUGUAGGUGAAAGAAGGAGGCGGGGAGGGAAAGAGCACAGUGAAAUAAAGACCAGACUAUGUCCACUGCACCUCUGAAUGCUAUGAAAUAGAAACUCCACCUUAUUGUGAGGUGUCUGAGCCAGAGACUAAUGAAGUCAAUCUCUUUCAUUAGGAGGGUGAGGUUGAUUGGAUGCAAAAUCCUCCUUGGCUGAUUUAAGCUACCUUUGGUGUGAAGGAGCUGCAAAGCAAGUUCAGCCUAGGACAUCACUAGAGAGAAGAAGAAACCUGCAGGAAAGAGCAGAGAGGCGUUAGUAUACCAGCAAAUCUCUUUUUAUACAUUUUGUGGGUCCCUCUCUCUCACACAUGCGAAGUAAAGGUCCGGUGGACAUUGCAGUACCAAAUUCUGCCGUGACGCUGCUGCUGCCCAUGUGCGCCCCGGCGCUGUUGAUCCAUCCCAGGCACACACCACGUCUGUCCUUUGUUUUCUGCGAGAUUUUAUCACUCUUAGAAAAAGGACAGUACCCUUAUUGAAUGCCUUGAAUCCCAAGUCUAUUUGGCUGUCAUUGCAGGUUUGAUGUGCAGCGGUCUUUGUUUAAAAAGGCACAAUAUUUACAUAAACAGGCUGACCUUUUAAACCGCAUUUUAUCAGGAGGAGCUGAAGGGGAGGAGAUAAGGGGAGAGAAGGGGGCAGAGGAGCCUUUGCUACCUGUUGCCGUAAGAGAAAUCAUACCCUGAGGCAAAGAGACCUUUUGUUUUUAUAACUGCAUAAAGUAUCAUAUUUAUGUCUACAUAUUUAACAGACACUACACUUGAAAUGUACACUGAAUUGUUUUCUUUACAAACUGUAUCAUCCCCCCUUCAUUCCUUUUCUUACGUCCUCACUAUAGAAAAAAUCAAUAAAGCCCCAAGCAGCGUAAAUCAUUGCUAAGAUCAGCUCACUCCACGAUUCUUUAGCAUAAGAAUGAUUAGAUACGCUGACAGGAACAAACCAAUGUGAUGCCAGAGGAAUCCUGAGUUUCUGUGGUUUCCGACUUUUCCCCAGCAGAUUCUGGAAACAUAAAACUGCCAGGCUGGCAAACAGAUUGGAAUGCUUCACACUGGUGCUUACAGAGACAAUAGAAAGAAGACAAAAAGCUUCUUACUAAAAUCCCAGAAACUGCCAUCUCUUUUACAGACCGCACAGAGCCCAGCAGAGAGGUGCUGGUGGAACGCUCCAUAUUGCCUAGCACAUACAUCGCAUCAUCUGCGCGGUUCCUGCGCUCAUUUCACUGAUCUUGCUAAUCGUGAGUCGCACACAGCCCUGCUGCUGUGCUGCAGGGAUGCCGGAGCUCCGUGCUGCUCUGCACGCUGCUCCUGACACCUUCUGCCUUUCCGUCUACCCGCGCUGAGCUCCCAGCCCACCUGUGCCCGGGGAAAAGCCUUUUUAUUAGCCAUGACCGCGUGUCUGUCGGGGGACAUACAUCAAGCUCCAUAAAUGCUGGCGCUGCCUCCCUCUACCCCACACACCUUCAAAUUCCGCACGCAUUCCGGAGCCACUAUGCGAAGAGAAGGGUGAUGUUUCCACCGAGCCAGGUCAUUAUUUCCAUGCCGAGAGCCUGGAAGCAUCGAGAAGCGGGGGAAAUGGAGGGGCGAUGCUCCGCUUACCCGGGGCAGGAGAGGGACGCGGGUGAUGAGCAGGGGAAUUUCCGCCCAUCCCCUCUGCCCCGCAAACGCUCCUGGCCGUGGGGUCUCUCCCAAAAGCCGCUUCCCCGCUCAGGGAUCUCCGCAGCCC